UAAAAGUUACUGAAUCUGAAUGCAUGGAUAUAGAUUCAUCCCUUUCGAUUCUUGAACAAAAGCAAAUUAUUCUUUGAUCGAACCUUACAACAUAAACAUGUAAAUAAUAUUAAUCAUUUCCCGAAGUCAAAAUAUAAUCAAAAGAAAUCAGAAAAGUGUAGAAAGAAAGAUGCAAGUGAUGAAUUUUUGGUUGAGGCAAGUGUUUGACACUUGGUCCUUAACAUGAAUUUGCCCCGCAUCGGUGCUAACGAUUUUUCGACAAUCAUUUCCCAAGAUACAACGACCACGUCAAGCCAUAGGAGCACCCCAAAUGACUUCGACCAGUGAACUCGAACGAAAUUCUCUCUCUACCAAAAAAAUGCAUGAAAAUGUUAUGGAAUUAGAAAUGAGAGAAUUGCAAGAGGAGAAUGAAU
RNAcentral lists this long non-coding RNA (413 nucleotides) under Olea europaea subsp. europaea. Lineage: Eukaryota; Viridiplantae; Streptophyta; Magnoliopsida; Lamiales; Oleaceae. The record is from RNAcentral.